Molecule: ribosomal RNA, 253 nt
Filed under: uncultured bacterium
Lineage: Bacteria
Description: partial 16S ribosomal RNA
Rfam family: Bacterial small subunit ribosomal RNA
Source: RNAcentral
UACGGGGGGGGCAAGCGUUGUUCGGAAUUACUGGGCGUAAAGGGCUCGUAGGCGGCCAACUAAGUCGGAUGUGAAAUCCCCAGGCUCAACCUGGGAACUGCAUCCGAUACUGGAUGGCUUGAAUUCGGGAGAGGGAUGCAGAAUUCCAGGUGUAGCGGUGAAAUGCGUAGAUAUCUGGAGGAACACCGGUGGCGAAGGCGGGUCUCUGGGCCGAUACUGACGCUGAGGAGCGAAAGCGUGGGGAGCGAACAGG